This 253-nucleotide ribosomal RNA is filed under the name uncultured bacterium. Its description in RNAcentral is "partial 16S ribosomal RNA". It matches the Rfam family "Bacterial small subunit ribosomal RNA", at positions 524 to 776 of the family's 1533-position model. The record is from RNAcentral.
UACGUAGGGGGCAAGCGUUGUCCGGAAUCAUUGGGCGUAAAGCGCGUGUAGGCGGCUUGGCAAGUCCGCUGUGAAAACUCGAGGCUCAACCUCGAGCUGUCGGUGGAAACUGCCUGGCUAGAGUCCGGAAGAGGAGUGUGGAAUUCCUGGUGUAGCGGUGAAAUGCGCAGAUAUCAGGAAGAACACCUAUGGCGAAGGCAGCACUCUGGGACGGUACUGACGCUGAGACGCGAAAGCGUGGGGAGCGAACAGG